Molecule: ribosomal RNA, 101 nt
Filed under: Cupriavidus sp. UYMMa02A
Lineage: Bacteria; Pseudomonadati; Pseudomonadota; Betaproteobacteria; Burkholderiales; Burkholderiaceae
Source: RNAcentral
AGCGAGCUGGAACCACCCCUUCCCAUCCCGAACAGGACCGUGAAACAGCUCCGCGCCGAUGAUAGUGCGGAUUCCCGUGUGAAAGUAGGUCAUCGCCAGGC